AUGCAAGUCGAGGGGCAGCAUCAUCAAAGCUUUCUUUGCUGGCGACCGGCGCACGGGUGAGUAACACGUAUCCAACCUGCCCUUUACUCGGGGAUAGCCUUUCGAAAGAAAGAUUAAUACCGGAUGGCAUAAUUAUUCCGCAUGGGAUAAUUAUUAAAGAAUUUCGGUUGUCGAUGGGGAUGCGUUCCAUUAGGUUGUUGGUGAGGUAACGGCCCACCAAGCCUUCGAUGGAUAGGGGUUCUGAGAGGAAGGUCCCCACAUUGGAACUGAGACACGGUCCAAACUCC
RNAcentral lists this ribosomal RNA (287 nucleotides) under uncultured Bacteroides sp. RNAcentral describes it as "partial 16S ribosomal RNA". It matches the Rfam family "Bacterial small subunit ribosomal RNA", at positions 55 to 339 of the family's 1533-position model. Lineage: Bacteria; Pseudomonadati; Bacteroidota; Bacteroidia; Bacteroidales; Bacteroidaceae. The record is from RNAcentral.